Molecule: long non-coding RNA, 1127 nt
Filed under: Homo sapiens (human)
Lineage: Eukaryota; Metazoa; Chordata; Mammalia; Primates; Hominidae
Description: long intergenic non-protein coding RNA 1198
Source: RNAcentral
AAUACUGCAAAGUUUGGGAUGCACAAUCUACAAAACCCCACAGCCCCUGAGAAUUCUCUCGCCUGCCUUCGGCCCUUAGGCUCCGGGAGAUUGCAAAUAACCUGCUUUCUUUCUGUUCCCAGGUGGCGUCGGACCCCUGUCAGAGAGUAAAUCUCAAGUAAGGUACCUGCCAUCGGCAGAUUUGAGCUUUCUUCUUGGACACCUAAUACCCACAGUCCUCCAGGCUCCGGUAGACUGCAAAUGACCUGCUUUCUUUCUGUUCCCGGGCUGCGUUUGGACCCCUGUCGGAUAGUAAAUCCCAAGCUCCGGUAGACUGCAAAUGACCUGCUUUCUUUCUGUUCCCGGGCUGCGUUUGGACCCCUGUCGGACAGUAAAUCCCAAGUAAGGUACCUGCCCUCGGCAGAUUUGAGCUUUCUUCUUGGACACCUAAUACCCACAGUCCUCCAGGAAUGGAACAGAUAAGAAGAUACUGAAAUUGGACGGUGCUGCCGUGCGGCUGCCGCAGGACACCUUUAAUAUCCCUGUUUCUCAGGCUGUAGAUGAAGGGGUUCAGCAUGGAGGUGAUCACCGUGUACAUCACUGAGGCCACUGCAGCCUUUCUCGGGGAAGAUGACACAUCUGAACUGAGGUACCCUCCAAAGCCUGUUCCGUAAAAUCAGCAAACAACUGACAGGAUAACUUCAGGAAGUGGGUAUUAAUUCUCACGGUAUAAGUGAAGACAUUAAGCACCAGAGUUUAAGUAGCUUGAUCCACUGAAAGAGAUUCAACUGUGUGGAACCUAUGCCGUGGAGAAUUGCUUUCUGCCAUUGUUAUCGUCCAGCAGUUGCCGAAUAGCUCUGACCUGAGCAAAGCAGUGAAACGCGGUGCUGUUGAGUGGGUUGCCACUGCACCUUUUUCAACUACUCUAGUCUUGUGGAGAAAAUACCCCUUCUAAAUUUUUUCUUCAUUGAAUACUCUCCCUCAGCUCCAGAGUACCAUAUAGAGUUUUCUUGUAUUUUAGAGUUACUGUUUUAUCAAAGUUUACCAGUCUUUUGUAUUACAUUUCUCCUGUCUAAAUCGACUGUGUGGUUUCUACUCAUUAUGGAUAUAGAUUGAUACAAACUCAAUAAAUAUUUUUGAAUGAAUAA